GGGGGCGGCGCGAUUUCCUUGUGAAGGAAUGCGUCAGUCGCCGAGACAGACCCAGCCGGGAAUGACAAGUGUUUCCUUGGGCUUACCAUGGGUGAGCUCCUGAAUUCUGAGUGAGGAACACUUGGCACAGCAUUCCUCAUGAUGGAGAAAAGGCACGAAGACUGCCAUGUUUGGAAACACAGGUCAAACCCCAUAGAAGCAAGGAGAUCCACACAUUCCGGUAUCAUCCACUAAUUUUCUCCACUGAAAGACAUUUUGAUACUGUCUUACAUGGCAGAUAUGAGUAAUAUGCUAGGUCAAUAAGGAAAUACUGACUUUACAGGCCACAAAGUGCAGGUUUGUUUCCAUACCUGCAAACAAGCAAAAAUUCUCACCAGGGAGAGUGACUUUGCCAGGUGCCUUGAGAAGAACCCCUUAGCCUAGAGCUAUCCCUGUGAGCAUAUGGGCUGUGCAAGAAAAGGAGUGGAUUGUUUUAUGAAAAGGUGUUCUCCUAACCUUCGCUGUACUGUGUCUGCAAUGAGUUAUCUGUGCAAGUUCACUGUGACACCUAAAG
Rhea pennata is the source of this 553-nucleotide long non-coding RNA. RefSeq lists it as uncharacterized. NCBI's taxonomy places the organism in Eukaryota, Metazoa, Chordata, Aves, Rheiformes, Rheidae. The record is from RefSeq and is a predicted model, not a curated record. The transcript is spliced from 5 exons.